UGAAAGAACUUGUGUAAAUGAAAACACGUGAAAUUAGUAUCACGUGUAUAUGUGAUGUUAUGGAAUUUAACUAUGGCAAUUAAGUGAGAGGAGAUGGAAAGCUCUGAUGGCUACACAUUUUCAAAUCUUUCUUGUAUGAAGAUAGUGGUAAAGAAGAAAAUGUGUUUUUAUUUUAUUUUGUCAAUCAAGCCUUUUUUUUCAGUUAUUCACAUUGCAGCUCAUACACAUCCACACAUUCACAUUAAUGCAGUUUCUAAAUGAAUAUGGCUGAAAGGUCAUUAGUCUAAAUGUAGCAAAAAAAAAGAUUCAUCAUCAUCAUCCCAUAUCUAUCUGAGCAUUUCACUGUGGUUAAUUAAUUUGAACACAAUGUCAACAUUUCCGUACACGGUUUUAACGAACAGACACUUUUCUUUCCAAAAAGAAGAGCAUGCGAGAAGAGAGGAGAUGAGAAAAGAGAAAGAAAGAGAGAGGGAGGCAUAGAGAGAGCGGGAGACAGGAGGGAGGGAUACAGUUAGAGGGAGGUAGGGACACACAGACAGAUAAGGAGACAGAAGCAUUCCCGCUAUGCCACAUAUGUUUACAUGAUACCUGUAGCUGGUAGCUUUGUAGCUAGCUUCUAGCAUGUUACUUUCGUUUACGUCUUCGCUUAGUUCUUUCUGGAACGGGUGCUUCGUCGUUGACGAGGUACCUUUUGUAACGUACUGGAUCCAUUAUUUUUCUUUAUUUGUUGCUUAUUUACCACAGACCGUAAAGCAUAAUGGCAAGCAUGUAUCCACUCUGCUCUGAUCGGCCGCUACAGCGUCGCGUGCGAAUGACGUCAUCAAUCGCGCUGGGCCGCUUGUUGAUGACGUCAUUCCCAUGCAGGCGCGAUCGCGCCGAAAGAUAACGGCUGGGACGAAGUAUAAAGUAUUAAAAAUGGAGACAUCAGCGUUCCGCUAUGUCCUACUUGAAUGGACUGAGGGUGAGGAUAGUGGGGCGCACAGUAUUUUGACGAUGGACUGUGUCCGGAACUUUUCAGUUCAAGAUUUUUUUGCCUCGACUGAACAACACAAGAAGCUGGUGGAAUGGCGAAAAAGCCGCCAACCCUGGCCGGUUCACCGAGCCAAAAUUAUUGACGUGGCAAGGAGGGUCUUCCAAAUACAAGCACCAGGAGGGUGAGAAGCAGGAGGAGGGUCAUGACAGACUUUCAAAGAACAAGGUUGCCGUGAAAAAGAAAAAUCUUUCUAAAUACGAGGAGGAGGAGGGAGAAGUGGAUGAUGAGGCGCGUCAUGACACAAAGAACAAGCGGGCCAGAGAAGAGGAGGAGCAUAUUGGGGAUGAAGACGACAAAGUACCAGCCUCAAAGAAAAAGAGCGCUGCUGAAUUUAGAAAGCAACUGGACGAACAGAUGUGGGAGAGAAAAAAAAUUGAACAAAUGCAAAGAAAUUUGCAGGAGUUGCGAAAUGAAGUUCAGUCUCUCAAAAGUGAAAAUGCACAUCUGAAAGAUGUUCUGGAAUGGGAAGCAACCUGAAUGGUUCAAAAACGUGAUGUGUGUGUAUAUAUAAAAAGCAUCGUCCGGACCCUGAAAGCACCGUCUCCACCUAACUGUCAAAAAGAAAAACAGCGAGCGCGUAGAAAACUCCUUCCAGCGCGAGCAGAGAUUCUCCUCGCGAGCAACAAAGUUCACGUUUCGCAAGCGAGCAAAUACCUCGCAGAGACGAACUUUUGAUCGCGCGAGACAGACUUUUGCUCGCGGAUGUUUGACUUUGGUUAAAUUCUUAAGGUCAUUUAAUCAUUAUGUUUUGAUCAGAGUUGUGAUUAAAGGUUUGGGUGGGCCGCGAAAGAUUUUCAGAUUUCAAAUUGGGCUGCGGCAAUCUUGAGUUUGGGAAACGCUGGUCUAUGGAAAAGAGAACUAUGACCGGGUACUUUAACAUUAACAAAUGUAUGUAUCUUUAAGAUAACUAGGGUGUAAUUUGGAUAGGGGGUGGAUGUAGUGAUCAAUAUAUUCGGUGAUGUUGAAGGGCUCGGAACCGCAAUCGCUGACUAUAGGGCGGCCAGAACAACAAAGGGAACCGUCCAGGUCCCAGGAGUCUUAUGGAUUUUAGGGAGCAGAUAGAAGAGGCGGGGUUUGGGUUCAUCCGGGCCGUCCAAGUAUUGUUUUUGGUUAGGAUGGGAAUAAGGCUCUGGAGAGGGCUCUGGGGCAGAGUCAGAGACAGCGCCGUGGUCCGAGUGGGAUCCCCCACUUCACCAAUGAGGUCUGAGAACGCUUGCCGGUUGGCUUCUGUUGGUGAAACCUGAGCUCCUCUAUUCAACGGCUUUAUAAAACUAGAAAUGGAGCAGCUCGGUACAGGUACAACAUACCUGUUGUGUCAAACUCCCACACCCAGUCAUUCAUCCUCUGCUUGGAUCAGCGCCUCUUAUCCCGAUCCUGCCAUGCAAAGUACUUUAAAAUAUGCAACCAGUAUAUAUGAAAAAUCAACAGAAGCAUAUUUACCCAAUCAAAGAAAUGGAGAUUUCCCCACACUAUGUGGGUCCAGCAACACUCUGGCCACCCAACAGGAGACUGGCAUUCCCUGGAAAAGUGCCACUUUCCCUUUGAUAGGAGCACAGCCUUGAAUUCAGAGCGCCACCCCAUGGUGCCACCUGCUACACAUGGCAUAAACCGGUCCGGACUAUGCCCUUCACACAGUUAAAAUACAGUCUUCUUAUCUGCUUCAUGCUAUGUUCCCUCAGCAGUGCCCCCCAUCAGACCAGGGGUACCACUGCUGCUGAUGUCCCUCUUCGCUCUGUGAAUGUAAAAGGGUGUAAAAACACCCUAAUAAAACGGAGCAGCACAUUUAACUUUAAAACAUUAGAAUAAAUUAAAAACAGCAGUAUACAGUCCCAGGUUGUUUGCACGUCUCUCCAUACAAAACCAUCCGGAGCUCUAUGCUGAGGAACUCGUCAGUAAUGAACAGAGGGACAUCUGACAAUACUAUUUUUGUUGCUGGUUGUGAAAAUGCAACACCUGAACAAACAAUUAAUUCACCGUGCAACAUGUGCAGCAUCAUCGGGAAAUGAUCUUCCAGGCGGCUCACUAUAACCCGAUGGCUGGCCACAUGGGAUACGAAAAAACGCUAGACCAGAUAAUGACCCGAUUUUAUUGGCCAGGCAUCCGGCGGGACGUGCGCUGCGCUUCCUGCCCGGAGUGUCAGUUAGUGAACGCUCCGGCCGUUCCGAGGGCGCCGCUGCGUCCUCUGCCGUUGGUGGAGGUUCCGUUCGAGCGGAUCGGCAUGGACCUCAUCAGGCCGUUUCACCGGAGCGCACGCGGAUAUCGCUUUGUGUUAGUCCUCAUGGAUUACGCAACGCGAUAUCUGGAGGCAGUGCCAUUGCGCAAUAUCUCUGCAAAGAGUGUCGCGCAGGCUCUGUUUCAGGUCAUCUCCCGAGUUGGAAUCCCUAAAGAGAUUCUGACUGACCAGGGCACCUCGUUCAUGUCGCGCACACAGAGAACUUUACGGGUUACUGGGCAUUAAGUCCAUUCGUACUAGCGUGUAUCACCCGCAGACGGAUGGGCUGGUGGAACGUAUGAAUAAGACUCUGAAGUCCAUGAUCCGUAAAUUUAUUAGCGAAGAUGAACGUAAUUGGGACCACUGGCUUGACCCUCUGUUGUUUGCAGUGCGGGAGGUCCCCCAGGCCUCCACGGGAUUUUCUCCCUUUGAACUUUUGUUUGGCAGGACGCCACGAGGGGUGCUGGACCUUAUUAAAGAAAGCUGGGAGGAAGGUCCAAGCCCCUGCAAGAAUGAGAUCCAGUACGUCCUGGACCUGCGAGCGAAACUCCACACACUGGGCCGGAUGUCAAGAGAGAAUUUGCUGCAGGCCCAGGAGCGACAACAAGGGCUGUACGACAGAGGGGCCAGGCUGCGACGAUUUACACCGGGAGAAAAGGUACUUGUAUUACUUCCUUCUUCCAACUCUAAACUCCUAGCCAAGUGGCAAGGGCCCUUUGAUGUCACACGGCAGGUGGGGGACGUCGACUACGAGGUGGUGCGGUCUUGACAGGGGCGGGGGUAUACAGAUAUACCACCUGCACCCCCUGAAAGCCUGGAGGGGGGUGGAUUCUGUCUCUCUGGUCUCUACGGUAUCAGAAAGGGAGGAGCUGGGGCCGGAGGUUCCAAAAGCAGGCCGGACCGACCUCAUAGUACACAGUUUCGAGACGCCCCCGGAUGUGACGGUGAGGUCACGAUCCUACAGGUUGCCCGAACACAAGAAAGAAGUGCUUCGGAGGGAAUUGGCGAGUAUGUUGGAGUUGGGGGUAAUAGAAGAGUCCAACAGUGCCUGGUGCAGCCCCAUCGUCCUUGUGGCAAAGAAGGAUGGAUCUGUACGGUUCUGCGUGGACUAUCGCAGGGUGACUGACGUGUCACGGUUCGAUGCCUACCCAAUGCCCCGGGUCGACGAGCUCCUGGACCGGCCAAGCACUGCACGUUUCUUCACGACACUGGAUUUAACCAAGGGCUACUGGCAGAUUCCUCUGUCACCAGAGUCCAAGUAGAAAUCGGCAUUCUCCACCCCGUACGGUUUGUACCACACUUCCCUUCAGGUUGUUUGGGACCCCGGCCACGUUUCAGCGCCUCAUGGAUCGGGUGCAUUCUACCUGAAUGGAGAAUGGUUUAACGUGCUCUCACAGACCUUUGAUCAAAGGAGCAUUGUGUGUUACCCUCAUCUUCACCUGAGUUCUUAUCUCAACCUGAUUUAUGGCUUCUCGUAACUGGCACUGAGGAUGGUCUUCAUGUGUAUAAAAACUCGUUUUUGCUGCUCGGAGACACCAUUACACAGAACGCUGGAAUAUGUGCUGGUGUGUUUGACCUCCUCCUUGCAAGCAACAGUUAGAGACUGAUAUCUGCGGAAAAUUGCUCAUGUAAUCUUUUUCUCUUCUAAAUAAAUGUUAACUUUGUGACUUUAAUUGAUUAACGUGCUGCGAUCCUUCUCAUCAACCAACUCGGGGGGGAUUGGAGAUCCCGACACUCUAAGAUCAAUGAGAGGGAUACCUUGUUCACGAGCCCAGGCCUCAUCCACAAAACUUCCUUCGGCACCAGAGUUAAUCAAAGCCAGGCAGGAGAUGGCGGAGCCCAGCCACCGUAGAUGGAAGGAAAAGGUAGUGCAGGUGCGUGACAGGGGCGUCUAAGGAGGAUGCACUCACUAGUAACCCCCUCUCUACUGGUGAACUCUGGCUUUUACCGGGCAGGCUGAGAAGAAAUGGGAAGGUGAUCGACAGUAUAUACAAAGACGUCCGGUGAUGCAGCGUUGGCGUUCCGCAGCGGAGAUCCGUAACCCUCCUAGCUGCAUGGGCUCCGAAUCAGCGCUGGCGGAGGGUGACGGAGAGGAAGGCGCAGAGGGAAGUGACCCCUUCAGGUUGCAGGCUCUGCGGCGUAGUUCGAAGUGCUUCUCGACGCAGAUCACCAUGUCAAUGGGGGGGGUCAAGUCGAGAAGGAAUCUCGCGGGCUAAAACCUCAUCCUUAAUCUCUGCAUUCAAUCCCUCCAGAAAUUGUGCCACCAGAGCGGGUUCGUUCCAGUCGCAGGAAGUCGCUAACGUGUGAAAUUCAAGUUGGCGGUCAAUCUCUUUCCCCGACAAAGAGGAGUCGAGAGGCUUCAGCCCCGUGUGCGGAAUGGUCGAAAACUCUUGACAUCUCCUCCUUGAAGAGCACAUAACGGUCGAGGCAGUCGACGUCCGAACUCCAGACAGCAGUUCCCACUCACGCGCCCGGCCGGUGAGAAGAGAGACCACGAAGGCGAUGCGGGAUCGGUCACUGGCGUACCUCGAGGGCUGAAGUGAAAAAACUUCCGACAUUCUGUCGGCUCACCCGCAUAGCAUGGAGGAUUGUUCACUCUGGGUUCCGGCGCGUCGAGGUUCCGGGCCGAGGGGGGGAUCACGAACACAAAGGUGAAGAAGCUGCUGAGACAAGUUGGUCACCUGAGCCGCGAGAGAUUCAACAGCCUGAUGAGUGGCGGCUAGCUCACCCUCAUGACUUCCCAGCAUAGUUUCCUGUAGCUCGAGGGCAGACUGGAACUGGUUCUCCCUUGCUGGAACCAUGGUGGCCAGAGUAUUCUGUCGUGUUUGUGAAGGAGAGAGGACCCAAACGCAAGGGAAGCUAACGUCUGUUUUAAUCAACUUAGAAUGUCCAAGGCAAAAAAUGGAACUAAGGUAGCCAGUCUUUGGAACACAGACCAACAUUAGAUCUUCUCAUCCUUUGACCUCUUUUUACCUCAGUUUACAUUCAGGAUUAAAGUGUGACAAAUAAUGAUUAUAUAUAAAGAAACCAAAAGUCCAGCAUUAAAUACAUCUGUAAUAACCUACGUAAACACAGUUAAAUAUAAGUAAAUCUAUGGUUUAAAUACAUGUAUUCGCACGUUUACUCUGCGUCUCCUUGAACUGUCUCUGUUCUGCCUUCACUGACACAAUGCGUGGAAAAUAAAUAUCUGAUUCAAG
Molecule: long non-coding RNA, 6442 nt
Organism: Gasterosteus aculeatus aculeatus (three-spined stickleback)
Lineage: Eukaryota; Metazoa; Chordata; Actinopteri; Perciformes; Gasterosteidae
Source: Ensembl